Long non-coding RNA from Pleuronectes platessa (European plaice), 1465 nucleotides. RefSeq lists it as uncharacterized. Lineage: Eukaryota; Metazoa; Chordata; Actinopteri; Pleuronectiformes; Pleuronectidae. The transcript has 3 exons. The record is from RefSeq and is a predicted model, not a curated record.
UGAAGAGAACCUGAAAGCUGGAGCGUCUCAGGGCGUUCGGGGCUUUCUGUGGCUUUAGGUGUUGGUGAGCGUGGUGUGGUUUGGUUGGCCUGGCAGCAGGGAUGGGCCUUAGCAGGUGCUGGGAGAGGUCACUACAGGAGAUGGAGCCGGUGGGUCACCACAAGGUUAUCCUGACCCGAGCUCACCGACUCUUCUCCCCAGCCACCUGCUGACCGAGGCCUGAAACGAUGGUUCGUGUAAAAGCGAUGUGCCCAACAAGCAUUCAGACUAUUUGUUCUCUCCGCGGAUGAUGCCUGUAAAAGGGGCUGCAGGUGCUUGAGCCAGGGGCACAGUGUCUAGGGGCCACGUUAACUAUUAACACAGCCAUAUAAUACUGUUACUGAUUACCGCCUCUCGCUCAUGAGACUCCCACUGACCUGAGUCACAGACUCGGUGCGCAGUUUCGUCCUCUCCCUCCCUGGAUCUUUUUCAAACGACCUUCCUGGUGACCUUUAUCCUUCCUGCCAUAAAACGCAGAGACGUAAAAAUGUCUUGUACAAAGUUAAGAGGAACCCUGUUUGACAUGUAGUUCUCCAGGUACUUUACUCCUGGGGCGAAAGUCCGAGGUGUAGGGGACUCACACACGGCACAUGUACAAGAUGAGGUAACGUCAAGGUGUUGUUCUGCAGCACGAACACGCUGCGUGAUAAGAACUCUGCUCAGGCAACAUUACACCUUAAUGGGUUGAACAUAGCGUAGUAAUAUGCGUCUUAUUCGGCAGCUGGAGCCAUUAACCACAACAUCCUCACAUCAUCUGGUGUUUUUUCAUGUCACAGACAAUGAAGGUCCUUAGAAUUUUUUUCCCAACAUUUUGUGAAAUAAAUUAAUUCAAUUUCUCUUUUAGAGUUCAAUGAAAAGAGUGAUUCCUCUUCAUGACAUCCUGCCGUUAAGUUUAGCGCUUGAGCCAGGAGGGGAUUAGCUUAGCUUAGCUAAAAGACUGGAAGCAGAGGGAAACAGCUAGCCUCUCCACAAACAAGACUACAUAAAACUUUAAGUACUCAAAAGGCACUUCUGGCAAGAAUGAGUGUUAUAAUAUGUGAAAUGUAUUUAAGUGUGUAUUUACAGACGUCAGUAUUCAUGAUUGAAAAUCAACAAUUAAUAUAUAUUAUAGUAAUUGAUAAAUGGGAAGUUACAUCACGUUCCAUGUAUCAUGAACCUCCCAGUAAAGAGACAUGUGGAGAAAAAACUGUUUAAAUGAUCACGGCUACAGUCAUCAAUCACUUAAAUGGGUCAAAAAGCUUGUGAGAGAAUUUUUUCACACUCAAAUAAAUGUUUAAAUAGUUUGCUUAUAUUAAUCAAUGGGUCUGCUCACUGUGUUCACAUGACAAUAUAAUGGAAAAUCUUUUUAAAUGGUCGCCUAUAUACUGUCACAUGCUCCAUUCUCACCCAUAGGAAGUUGAAGGCCUAGAACAGUGUAUAACCACAU